UAGGGAAUCUUCGGCAAUGGACGGAAGUCUGACCGAGCAACGCCGCGUGAGUGAAGAAGGUUUUCGGAUCGUAAAGCUCUGUUGUAAGAGAAGAACGAGUGUGAGAGUGGAAAGUUCACACUGUGACGGUAUCUUACCAGAAAGGGACGGCUAACUACGUGCCAGCAGCCGCGGUAAUACGUAGGUCCCGAGCGUUGUCCGGAUUUAUUGGGCGUAAAGCGAGCGCAGGCGGUUAGAUAAGUCUGAAGUUAAAGGCUGUGGCUUAACCAUAGUACGCUUUGGAAACUGUUUAACUUGAGUGCAAGAGGGGAGAGUGGAAUUCCAUGUGUAGCGGUGAAAUGCGUAGAUAUAUGGAGGAACACCGGUGGCGAAAGCGGCUCUCUGGUCUGUAACUGACGCUGAGGCUCGAAAGCGUGGGGAGCGAACAGGAUUAGAUACCCUGGUAGUCCACGCCGUAAACGAUGAGUGCUAGGUGUUAGGUCCUUUCCGGGACUUAGUGCCGCAGCUAACGCAUUAAGCACUCCGCCUGGGGAGUACGACCGCAAGGUUG
Molecule: ribosomal RNA, 550 nt
Filed under: uncultured bacterium
Lineage: Bacteria
Description: bacterial SSU rRNA
Rfam family: Bacterial small subunit ribosomal RNA
Source: RNAcentral